RNAcentral lists this transfer RNA (85 nucleotides) under Felis catus (domestic cat). It matches the Rfam family "tRNA". From Rfam's summary of the family: Transfer RNA (tRNA) molecules are approximately 80 nucleotides in length. Their secondary structure includes four short double-helical elements and three loops (D, anti-codon, and T loops). Further hydrogen bonds mediate the characteristic L-shaped molecular structure. tRNAs have two regions of fundamental functional importance: the anti-codon, which is responsible for specific mRNA codon recognition, and the 3' end, to which the tRNAs corresponding amino acid is attached (by aminoacyl-tRNA synthetases). tRNAs cope with the degeneracy of the genetic code in two manners: having more than one tRNA (with a specific anti-codon) for a particular amino acid; and 'wobble' base-pairing, i.e. permitting non-standard base-pairing at the 3rd anti-codon position. Lineage: Eukaryota; Metazoa; Chordata; Mammalia; Carnivora; Felidae. The record is from Rfam by way of RNAcentral.
GCCUGGGUGGCUCAGUCGGUUGAGCGUCUGACUUUGGCUCAGGUCUUGAUCUCACAGUCUGUGAGUUCAAGCCCCGCAUCGGGCU